CCUACGGGAGGCAGCAGUGAGGAAUAUUGGUCAAUGGACGAGAGUCUGAACCAGUCAAGUAGCGUGAAGGAUGACUGCCCUAUGGGUUGUAAACUUCUUUUAUAUGGGAAUAAAAUGUUCCACGUGUGGGCUUUUGUAUGUACCAUAUGAAUAAGGAUCGGCUAACUCCGUGCCAGCAGCCGCGGUAAUACGGAGGAUCCGAGCGUUAUCCGGAUUUAUUGGGUUUAAAGGGAGCGUAGGUGGAUUGUUAAGUCAGUUGUGAAAGUUUGCGGCUCAACCGUAAAAUUGCAGUUGAAACUGGCAGUCUUGAGUACAGUAGAGGUGGGCGGAAUUCGUGGUGUAGCGGUGAAAUGCUUAGAUAUCACGAAGAACUCCGAUUGCGAAGGCAGCUCACUGGACUGCAACUGACACUGAGGCUCGAAAGUGUGGGUAUCAAACAGGAUUAGAUACCCGAGUAGUC
This 460-nucleotide ribosomal RNA is filed under the name uncultured bacterium. RNAcentral's name for it is "partial 16S ribosomal RNA". It matches the Rfam family "Bacterial small subunit ribosomal RNA", at positions 338 to 795 of the family's 1533-position model. The record is from RNAcentral.